This 5343-nucleotide long non-coding RNA is filed under the name Sus scrofa (pig). RNAcentral's name for it is "lncRNA (ENSSSCG00050053750.1)". The record is from RNAcentral. Lineage: Eukaryota; Metazoa; Chordata; Mammalia; Artiodactyla; Suidae.
CCCUUUGGUAACCAUAAGUUUGUUUUCAAAGUCUGUGAGUCUGUUUCUGUUCUGCAAAGUUCAUUUGUAUCCUUUUUUAAGAUGCCUCAUGUAAGUGAUACCGUAUGUUUGUCUUUAUCUGACUUAAGUUCACUUAAUAGGAUAAAUCUCUAAUUGUAUCUAUGUUGCUGCAAAUGACAUUAUUUCAUUCUUUUUAUGGUUGAGUAUUAUUUCAUUUAUAUAUGUACCACAUCUUCUUUAUCCAUUCCUCUGCUGAUAGACAUUUAGGUUGCUUCAUGUCCUGGCUAUUGUAAAUAGUGUUGCAAUGAACAUUGGAGUGCACAUAUCUUUUCAAAUUACGGUUUUCUCCAGGUAGAUGUCCUGGAGUGGGAUUGCUGGAUCAGAUGGUAGUUUUAUUUUUAGUUUAUUGAGGAACCUCCAUAGUGUUUGUACCAAUUUACAUUGCCCCCAAAGAGAGUUCCCUUUUCUCCACACCCUCUCCAGCACUUAUUGUUUGUAGAUUUUUUUGAUAAUAGCCACUCUGAACGGUGUUAAGGUGGUACCUCAUAGUAAUUUUGAUUUGCAUUCUUCUAAUAAUUAGCAAUGCUGAGCAUCUUUUCAUGUGUUUUUGGCCAUCUGUAUGUCUUCUUUGGAGAAAUGUCUAUUUAAAUAUUCUGCCCAUUUUUUGAUUGGGUUGUUUGUUUUUUUGAAAAAAUGCACAUUGUAACAGGAGGGGAUUAAAUAAAAAUAAACACAUGUAGAAGCUCUGUUACACUCCAGUGGGUGCUCUAAGGAAAACACGCCUCAUUUUGGAGUCCACUGGCGCUAAUGCACCUGGUCACUAACAUCUGAAUAGGAUGAGUGUGAUUUCAUGGGAAUCUUGUCUUGCUCUGCUCCAUGGUCCUGGGAGUGGGUGAAAGGGCUCUUGUCCAUGCCAUUUGCAGAUGAGAAAUCAGGCUCAGAAGGAUGAAAUGACCUGUCCAAGGUAUAUUAUGGAAGCAGAACACAUCAGGUUUCCUUCUUCUAAAAGUCUUAUUAAAGUAAUUCUACUUUUUAAGAAAGUGCUUCUGAAUCAGAACUUAAAGUCUCAGGACUGUAAAGAAAGUACGAAGCACAAAGAUGUUGAUGCCGAUGGCUGUAAGCACAGUUUUCUCUUCCUGCCUUUCAACAUUUAUUAAACAUUAAGGUUUAAAAUUCAUAUUUUAUAACCCAAAAUAUACACCAAUAACUUGUUCAUAAAAAUGACACCAUCUAUCAAAAGUAAAGCCCCUUUGUCACCCAGUGUGUCUGUCGUGUGGCCAGAUUCAAGACAGCCUUCAACAGCAGGAGAUCUGCAUUUUUUUUUCUGAUGAGAAUAAGCAAAAAAGUUGUUUGGCCGAUUUAAAAUAUGUUUAAGAACGCUUUAAUACAAAAUUCAUGUCUACUUGUCACAACUUAGUACACAUUGUAAAAAUAUUUAUUUUUUUUAAUUUUAAAUGAUUUUUAUUUUUUCCAUUAUAGUUGAUAAAAAUAUUUUUUUUUAAAUGUCAGCUUGGAAUGUUUCCACUCCAUGUUUUCAAGAAAUCAUUUUAUCCCGACUCUCCACUUCAUCACAAACCAUCGCACAUCACCUUCGUUUCCAAGUGAUUUCUAAGUGAGAUGCAACAUGAUUUGAGUUUAUAAAUGGCACGGCCACUGGAAACUUUGUCCCCCUAAGUAACCAUCCUGGUAGAACAUCAGGAUUUUUUCCUUUUCAUGCAGUAAUAUAUUUAUAAUCCCCACGUCAUGACUACCUAAUACAUUUUUAAUGUAAACUUGACAGUAGUAUAACAUAUAUGAAAAAGUGUAUAGGAGUUCCCAUGGUGGCUCAGUGGUUAAUGAACCCGACUAGUAUCCAUGAGGAUACAGGUUCGAUCCCUAGCCUUGCUCAGUGGUUAAGGAUCUGGAGUUGCCGUGAACUGUGGUGUAAGUCGAAGACAAGGCUUGAAUCCCGCAUUGCCCAUGGCUGUGGUGUAGGCUGGCGGUUACAGCUGAUUUGACCCCUAGCCUGGGAACCUCUGUAUGUCGCUGGUGCGGCCCUAAAAAAACAAGUGAAUAAAUCUUAACUAUAUGCCCUGAUGAAUUUUCAAAGUGAACACACUCAGAUGAAGGGCAUCACUAGUCUCCUAAAGGACCUCACAUGCUGCCCUCUCAUCACCUCUGUUUAAGGCCCCUCCCUUCCUCCUGCUCUAGGUAACCCCAUUCUUACUUCUGAUGUCACGGAUAAGUCUCGCCUGGCUUGGAUCCUUAAAUGGCACAAAGUGACUUAUAGCUUAUAAUUUCAUGUCUGGAUUCUUCCAUUCAAGAUUGUGUUUGAGGUGCCUUCCAUGUUGCAGCAUCUGGCUUGAGUGUGUUCAUUUUCAUGAAUGAAGACUAUUCCAUAUAUGAAAACUUCAGUUCUCUCCAUUCUAUUGGAGAUGGACAUUUGGGUUGUUUCCAGAUUUGCAGCUACUCUGAGCAGUGCUGCUACGAACAUUCUCAUAUAGGUUUGUGUACAUGUUUCUGUUGGCUGCACCUUGGGUGGAAUUGUCCAGAAUGGCCAGAGGUUCCAUCUCAGCAGACUCUGCCAGUUACACUCCCAUUAGCAGGUCACCAUACAGCCUGGCCCAAGCUUGGGAUUUCUGCUGUCUCAACUUUAGCUGUUCAGGUAGGCAUAUUCAGGUAGUGGCAUUUUGUUGUUUUUGUAUUUCCCUGGUUUUAGGAAGUUAAGCAUUUCUUAAUAUAUUCUGUUUCCUGGAGGCUGAUAAUCUCCUGAUCACUUAGCUGUUUUUCUGGGGUUUUUUCUUUCUCCCUUAUCUGGGUUACAGUUCUCUGUCUUUUCAUUUUUAUAGGUUUUUGGUGUGGUGACCUUUUUGCAGACAGUAGAGUUGUAGCCUCCUUACUUCUGGUGUCUGUCCCACUUGUGGCUGAAGUUGGUACGGGGGCUUGCUGUAGGCUUCCUGAUGGGAGGGACUGGUGCCUGCCCCCUGGUCGGUGGGGCUGAUUCCUAUCCCUCUGGUGUGUGGGGCUUUGUCUCUGGGUGAGAUUAGAGGCGGCUGUGUGCCUGGGGGUGGGGGUCUUUAGGCAGCCUGUUUAUUGAUGAGUGGGACUGUGAUCCCACCUGGAUUAUUGUUUGGCCUGGGGCUUCUCAGGGCUGAUGGGUGGGGCCAGAUUUUCCCAAACUGGCCACCUCCAGAGAAACGCAUGCUGAUGAAUAUUCGCAAGAGCUUUGCCUCCAAUGUCCUUCCUGCACAACAAGCCACAGUCACCCCCUGUUUUCCCAGGAGGUCCUCCAAGAACUGCAGUCAGGUCUGACUCAGAUUCCUAUGGAGCCUUUGCUCUGCCCUGGGACCCGUGCUCAUGAAAGCCUGUGUGCGCCUUUCAAGAAUGGGGUCUCUGUUUCCCCCAGUCCCGUGGAGCUCCUGCGCACAAGCCCCACUGGCCUUCAAUGCCGGAUGCUCCGGGGGUUCUUUCUCCCAGUGCCAGAUCCCCAGUUGGGACUCAACUCUCACUCCUGUAGGUGAGUCUCUGUGAAAAUAGUUACUUUCCAGUCUGUAGGGCUUCCCACCAGUAGGUAUGGGGUUGCUUAUAACUCGUAAUCACUGCUCCUACCUCCUGAUGUGGCCUGUCUUUGUCUUCUGGAGUAGGCUAUCUUUUUGAAAGUUCCAAUCUGUUUGGUUGAAGGUUGCUCAGCAUUUGGUUGUCAUUUUGUUGUUGUUAGGAGAGAAAUUGAGCUCCAGUCCUUCUAUUCUGCCAUCUUAAUCCCAUCUUCUACUCAAUUUAAUGCAAGGAGUUCCCAUCAUGCGUCAGUGGUUAACGAACCUAAUUAGGAUCCAUGAGGAUUAGGGUUCGAUCCCUGGCCUCGCUCAGUGGGUUAAGGAUCUGGUGUUGCCAUGAGCUGUGGUGUAGGUUGCAGACAUGGCUCGUAUCUCAAUAUAUUCUGGUUAUAAGUUCUUUCANAAUACUAGUCGUUACCCCUGAGCCACGACAGGAACUCCCUAUUUAUUUUAUUUUAUUUUUCAAUUUCUUUCUUUCUUUUUUUCUGUCUUUUGUCGUUUUAGGGCUGCACUUGUGGCAUAUGGAGGUUCCCAGGCUAGGGGUCUAAUCGGAGCUACAGCUGCUGGCCUACACCACAGCCACAGCCACGCCAGAUCCAAGGUGUGUCUGUGACCUACACCAUGGCUCAUGGCAAUGCCGGAUCCUUAACCCACUGAGCAAGGCCAGGGAUCAAACCCUAGUCCUCAUGGAUGCUAGUUGGGUUCAUUAACCAGUAAGCCACAACGGGAACUUCCUGUGUUGUUUCUUAAAGGGAUCUUAAAGAGGGUUUUACAACAUUGUAGAGUGAUUUACAGGGAUUCAGGAAAUCUGUCAAUUCCUUUGCUUCUUUUUAUACCUGAAUCUAUCAGGUGACUUUUAGAAGCACUGGCAUUAGGAGUUCAUUUUUAGGUUAUUUGUUGUUUACUAUAAAAUGGUUGAUAUGGUUUCUUAUGUGACAGACUGAGAAUUUUUUUCUGAUGGGGGAAACACAGGUAUACAUGAGUUGAGGUACAUGUAAGACUUCAUCCCACCCUAAGGCCAGGAUCUUAAAACCAAGUUCAAAUUUACUGGCUUCCUGUCUGUCCUCAUGGUCAAUUCCGAAGGCCUUUGUCUUUGUUAUCAUUGACGGUAUGUUAGUAACUACUUACUAAGUAGUUAAAUGGUUUUGUAUUUACCCUGCAAAAAGGCAAAGCAGCUCUUUUCUUAUGAUGUGCCAACCUGGCAAGGCUGUAGUUCCCAGUUAAUUCAAUUAAACACUAAUCUAGGGGUUGCAAUAAUGGGAUUUUUGCUGAUAUAACCAAAAUCCUUAAUCAACUAAAAUAAGGAUUAUUCUGGAAAAUCUGGUGGGCCUCACUCAGUUAGAAGGCCUUAAAAGCAAGACUGGUUGAGAAAGAGAAAAUUUCAACUGUGGACAACAGCUUCAGCCCUGCCCAAGGAGUCCCAUCCUGUUUUUGAACUUCCCUUCCUGAUUUAGAUUGCUUGGCCAGCCCCCACAAUCAUAUGAGCCAGUUCCUUGUAAAAAUCUCUUAACGUAUGUAUCUACUACUGGUUCUGCUUCUAUGGUUUAAUCCUCAACUAAUGCAAUGAUUUUAAGACCACACAAUUUUUAUUUCCAAAGGAAUUACCAACAAUAUGCAAAAAAUUUGUGAACUUAAAAAAAUAUCUUCCUUAUGAGAAGGACACAAAUCUGUUUAGACUUAGAACCAUUUUGGGUAUAGCUCAUCAGAAGGCUCGGGACUGACUGCGGACACUUAAACAGCAUUAUUUUUAAGAACCUGAAGUCUUCCUCAAUUACCAUGUAAUAUGCAUUCUUAUUAAAUGUUUAAAAUG